RNAcentral lists this ribosomal RNA (482 nucleotides) under uncultured bacterium. RNAcentral's name for it is "partial 16S ribosomal RNA". It matches the Rfam family "Bacterial small subunit ribosomal RNA", at positions 30 to 507 of the family's 1533-position model. The record is from RNAcentral.
AUUGAACGCUGGCGGCAUGCUUUAUACAUGCAAGUCGAACGGUAACAGGCCGCCAGGUGCUGACGAGUGGCGAACGGGUGGGUAAUGCAUCGGAACGUGCCCAGGCGUGGGGGAUAACUACUCGAAAGAGUAGCUAAUACCGCAUACGAUCUAUGGAUGAAAGCGGGGGACCGUAAGGCCUCGCGCGAUUGGAGCGGCCGAUGUCAGAUUAGGUAGUUGGUGGGGUAAAGGCUCACCAAGCCAACGAUCUGUAGCUGGUCUGAGAGGACGACCAGCCACACUGGGACUGAGACACGGCCCAGACUCCUACGGGAGGCAGCAGUGGGGAAUUUUGGACAAUGGGCGCAAGCCUGAUCCAGCAAUGCCGCGUGCAGGAAGAAGGCCUUCGGGUUGUAAACUGCUUUUGUACGGAACGAAACGGCUCUGGUUAAUACCCGGGGCUAAUGACGGUACCGUAAGAAUAAGCACCGGCUAACUACGUG